Long non-coding RNA from Hemicordylus capensis (graceful crag lizard), 868 nucleotides. RefSeq lists it as uncharacterized. The transcript has 3 exons. The record is from RefSeq and is a predicted model, not a curated record. NCBI's taxonomy places the organism in Eukaryota, Metazoa, Chordata, Lepidosauria, Squamata, Cordylidae.
GUAGGGCCCAAGCAAGCCAGGAAGGAGGAGGCAGCCAGAGUGUUCUCGGCAGCAGAAGACCCCUUGCUGCCCUGCUCAACCCAGACCAGCAUUUGCCAGUUCAUUCUGUAUCCAGAGUGGUAAACCUUCUCCUCACGCAGCCCUCAGCUACGCUACUCGGGGUGAGCAUGAUGGCCACAGUGAAAGAGAAAGAGAAGACAAAGAGAAGUAGAGAUAAAUAGAGAUUGCUCAGUAAUACUGCCUCACAACAACCCUACAAGAUAUGUUGGGCUAAGAGAUUCUGGGUUCAGAGCCACCCAAUGAGAUGGAUCACUGAGGGACAUUCUGACCCGGAUCUUCCAGCUUCUUGUUUGACAUCGACAAGUACACCUCACCGGCCCUCCCUGACAAGUAGACUACACUGCCAUGCUGCCACCAUCACAGCAAACUAGUCUGAUACUUCUGAUGCCUUCUAAAGGAAAAAGAGGGAGUCUCACCCAGAGAGGCCACAAUCCAACCAUUCUCUUCCAUGACUUCCCUGUGCAGAGUCUUUUGGCCAGAAUCCAGCAGAGCCCACUCCUCCUCUGUGAAAUGCACGGCCACGUCCUCAAAGGUCACCUGGCCCUGAAAGAGAGAAAGGAGAACAUAUUUCUUCCCUUGAAGAUCACAUCACGGUUCUGUUUCUCCUAAGCAAUAGUCAGAAGAACUGUUCAGGUAAGGUGAGCUGAGAAGGAAAGGGGCAUUUGGACUUUCCCCCAACGCCCAGUAGGGCAGGGCACUCACUAGACUGGGUGCCAAGCCGAUCAACAUCUGGGGGUUUCCUGGCUCUGCACUUACUAUUGUAUUUACUUGCUGUUGUAACAUGAGUGCCUGUGGGAAUUUGUCAUUA